GGGCAUUUGGUCUAGUGGUAUGAUUCUCGCUUUGGGUGCAAGAGGUCCCGAGGUUGAUUCUCGGAAUGCCCC
RNAcentral lists this transfer RNA (72 nucleotides) under Salvia splendens (bonfire salvia). It matches the Rfam family "tRNA". From Rfam's summary of the family: Transfer RNA (tRNA) molecules are approximately 80 nucleotides in length. Their secondary structure includes four short double-helical elements and three loops (D, anti-codon, and T loops). Further hydrogen bonds mediate the characteristic L-shaped molecular structure. tRNAs have two regions of fundamental functional importance: the anti-codon, which is responsible for specific mRNA codon recognition, and the 3' end, to which the tRNAs corresponding amino acid is attached (by aminoacyl-tRNA synthetases). tRNAs cope with the degeneracy of the genetic code in two manners: having more than one tRNA (with a specific anti-codon) for a particular amino acid; and 'wobble' base-pairing, i.e. permitting non-standard base-pairing at the 3rd anti-codon position. The record is from Rfam by way of RNAcentral. Lineage: Eukaryota; Viridiplantae; Streptophyta; Magnoliopsida; Lamiales; Lamiaceae.